This is an RNA transcript of Capra hircus (goat), 2007 nucleotides long. It is a transcript of the gene named PC4 and SFRS1-interacting protein pseudogene, with no coding region annotated. The transcript has a single exon. NCBI's taxonomy places the organism in Eukaryota, Metazoa, Chordata, Mammalia, Artiodactyla, Bovidae. The record is from RefSeq and is a predicted model, not a curated record.
CUUCGCCCCUGAAGCAUGACUCGCGACUUCAAACCUGGGGACCUCAUCUUCGCCAAGAUGAAAGGUUAUCCUCAUUGGCCAGCUCGAGUAGAUGAAGUUCCUGACGGAGCUGUAAAACCACCCACAAACAAACUACCGAUUUUCUUUUUUGGAACUCGUGAGACUGCUUUUUUAGGCCCAAAGGACAUAUUUCCUUACUCAGAAAAUAAGGAAAAGUACGGCAAACCAAAUAAACGAAAAGGCUUUAAUGAAGGUUUACGGGAGAUAGAUAACAAUCCGAAAGUGAAAUUUUCAAGUCAACAGGCAUCAGCUCAACAGUCAAAUGCUGUCAUCUGAUGUUGAAGUUGAAGAAAAAGAAACAAGUGUUUCAAAGGAAGAUACCGACCAUGAAGAAAAAGCCAGCAAUGAGGAUGUGACUCAAGCAAUUGACAUAACCAGUCCAAAAGCUGCCAGAAGAGGGAGAAAGAGAAAGGCAGAUAACCAAGUAGAAACUGAGGAGGCUGGAGUAGUGACCGCAGCAACAGCAUCUGCUAAUCUAAAAGUGAGUCCUAGAAGAGGACCACCUGCAGCCACAGCGGUCAAGAUUCCGAAACCAAGAGGCAGACCCGAGAUGGUAAAACAACCUUGUCCUUCAGAGAGUGACAUGAUAACUGAAGAAGACAAAAACAAGAAAAAGGGGCAAGAGGAAAAACAACCUAAAAAACAGCUUAAAAAGGACGAAGAGGGCCAGAAGGAAGAAGAAAAGCCAAGAAAAGAGCCAGAUAAAAAAGAGGGGGAAAAGGAAGUUGAAUCAAAAAGGAAAAAUUUAGCCAAAACAGGGGUUACAUCAACCUCUGAUUCUGAAGGAGAAGGAGAUGAUCAAGAAGGUGAAAAGAAGAGAAAAGGUGGAAGAAACUUCCAAACCGCUCAUAGAAGGAAUAUGCUCAAAGGACAACAUGAGAAAGAGGCUGCAGAUGGAAAACGCAAGCAAGAAGAACAGAUGGAAACUGAGCAGCAGAAUAAAGAUGAAGGAAAGAAGCCAGAAGUUAAGAAAGUGGAGAAGAAGCGAGAAACCUCAAUGGAUUCUCGGCUUCAAAGGAUACGUGCUGAAAUUAAAACUUCACUCAAAAUUGAUAAUCUUGAUGUCAACAGAUGUAUUGAGGCUUUGGAUGAACUGGCUUCACUUCAGGUCACAAUGCAACAAGCUCAAAAACACACAGAGAUGAUGACAACACUGAAAAAAACACGGCGAUUCAAAGUUAGUCAGGUUAUCAUGGAAAAGUCUACAAUGUUGUAUAACAAGUUUAAGAACAUGUUUUUGGUUGGUGAAGGAGAUUCUGUGAUCACACAAAGGCUGAACAAAUCUCUUGCCGAACAAAGACAGCAUGAGGAAGCAAAUAAAACCAAAGAUCAAGGGAAGAAAGGGCCAAACAAAAAGCUAGCAAAGGAACAAACAGGUUCAAAGACUCUAAAUGGAGGAUCGGAUGCUCAAGACAGUAAUCAACCACAACACAAUGGAGACAGCAAUGAAGAAAGCAAAGACAACCACGAGGCCAGCAGUAAGAAAAAGCCAUCCAGUGAAGAGAGAGAGACUGAAAUAUCUCUGAAGGAGUCUACAUAGAUAACUAGGUUGACAUACCUGGAAUAUAAAGAACAUUUGAGAAGUUUGUAAUGGUUUUCAUUUGAAAUAUUUAGACUGCUGAAAGUUUUAAAUUUUUAUAAACAUAGGUUUUGAUGUUUAAAACUUGUUUUGAGGGAGAAAUCUCCUUAUCUUUGUUUAAAAGUGACUAAACAUUGCUAAUUGUACUUGUGCAGUAUUAAGAGCUACAUUGUGCAGUAAAUGUGAGGGGAAGUUCAUUUAGGAAGGGUUAAACUGCUUUUCCAGACAUCGGUUGUAGUAUAUUUUCAGUUAGUGUGUGUAUGUUAAUGUGUAAUUGAUAGUAGAAAAAAGUUACAUUUUUUAAAACUCCUACUUGUAUAAACCUUCUCCUCUUUUCCCAGAUACUGUGGGUUUUGUGCAUAGUUUUU